GGGGUUAUGCUCGUUGGUUGGGCGUACUAGCUGUUAACUAGUUUUGUGAAGGAUCGAGGCCUUCUAAUCUCU
This 72-nucleotide transfer RNA is filed under the name Hypsilurus nigrigularis. RNAcentral's name for it is "tRNA-Asx". The record is from RNAcentral. Lineage: Eukaryota; Metazoa; Chordata; Lepidosauria; Squamata; Agamidae.